This is a non-coding RNA of Mycena polygramma, 87 nucleotides long. Lineage: Eukaryota; Fungi; Basidiomycota; Agaricomycetes; Agaricales; Mycenaceae. The record is from the annotation of a GenBank genome assembly.
GCCUCUGUAGACGAUGGAGUCGCCUCACCCACGUUUGCUGAUAACGUAGUCGUUGAGGAGAAGGGGGUUCGAAUCCCUUCAGUGGCC